Molecule: long non-coding RNA, 1617 nt
Organism: Amphibalanus amphitrite
Lineage: Eukaryota; Metazoa; Arthropoda; Thecostraca; Balanomorpha; Balanidae
Exons: 2
Source: RefSeq, a predicted model, not a curated record
ACACCCAUCCGGGGCCCACGUGGGGCCCAAAUGGGCAAACCCCAGCCAGCAUGCCCAUGUGGGCCCCACAUGGGCAGUUGAUGGACAUGGUGGGCUAGGUGGGCCAUGGGCUAGAGAUGGGCAAAUAUGUGGGCUGCAUGUGGGCCCCACAUGGGCUGCCCACAUAUUUUUUGGCAGGCAUAAUGCUUGAUGAUGAGAUUGCUUGCACAUGUGCGAGGGCAUAUCCAGGAAUUUUGGUGAACACAGGCAUUCACGCGGUGUUCCUGUAUGGUGGGCUUAACAUGGGCACUGCGUGGGCAGCCCAUGUAGUGGGAUGUAGGUGGGCUGGAUGUGGGCAGCCCAUUAUUUAUUUUUUCACUGUCCAAUGUGUAUGAUAUUACAAGAAAAAAGAACUCGCUGUUUAGUCUCAUGCCUCCAAAAUACACUUCGACGUCGUGAGGAAGUCGCAUAGUUGAUGUUUGUGAGACCAGCUACGGCUGAUAUUGGACAGUCAAUGUUGUGAUUGUGUCGUAUGAUUGUGUCGCCUGAGCCCGCCCCUGCGCGGGCGACCCGCCGGCGGAGCUCGGCCCACCGGACGGGGCCUGGGGCCGCCUCUGCACCGCCCGGGGCGGUGACCGGCCGACCGGCUGGCGGGGCUGCGGCGUCUGGGCGGGCCAGUUGGCGUUGAGACUCUGAGUGGUGUGCGUGUCCAAUAAAGCCUUAAUUCGGGCGGAACCGACACAUGGCGCGGUCGGUAUUAGCUCCAACCCGCCCAUAGUGAGUACAAAGUGCGAUGAACGAAAGUGAAAGGAAGCAGGAAUGCGUAGCCGUGGCGGCCGCGCCGCAACCACGACCGCGUUCGAGUCUCUUCGGAGAGGCGCGCCCGCAGCGACGCCAGCUGUAUCGCUAGUUGGUCGAGUCGCAGCUGUGACAUCAGGACGUAGUCGUCCCAUCUCUCCUUCCAGAGGUAUAGAAGGCGUCACUGCGGUCGGUGGAGAUGUCCAGUCGGUCAGGCCGAAUCGGCUGCAGGCUCGUCAUACCACAGCGAUUACGAAGGACUGUUCUAGAAGCCCUCCACGCCAGCCACCUGGGGAAGGAGAAGACGAAGGCCCGCGCAAGACAGAUCGUCUACUGGCCCGGGAUCUACCGGGAUGUGGAAAAUGUCACCCGCUGCUGUACCAGCUGCCAGAGAGAUCUUGAUCUACCCGCUCAGCAGCAAGUGGACAGAUAUUCCGGGUGGCUGUUUGUCGCCGACCUCGGUGUAAGCGCCCCCGCUUACACCGGUCCGAAGGACGAUAGCAGGCGUCAUGACGAGCGCACUCGCUACGCGACUAAGCGUAAAUGGACGGCACGGGAAAAGGGCUUUCGGCGGUACCCGGCUUUUUGAUGUCGUGUUCAGAGCCGUGCGGCGGAACGGGCUUACCCAGGACACCAACAACGGCCAGCUCAAGCUGGAGGUGGCGCCACGAAAGUGGUUUACGGGUGCCAGGAACCGCGACGGAGGCCGCCAGGAGAGGAGACCAGCUGGAGUUUAAGCGGAGGAGCAGAUGAGAGAAGAAGUCUAGAGAUGAACAGAAGAGAGGAGAGAGUUUAAACAGCAUUUUUGUGUUUAUCGAUAAUAUAAAUAUUGAUCACUGA